AAUAUAUGAUCAUAAAAGACUACUGCAUAUUCUUACUGAAGUCAAUCGAACACGUACUCUCCCAUUCACUAUCCCGAGUUCCUUCAUCAAAAGGCAACGCAGAUUCACCAUUAGCCGCGCAUAUAUUUUUCUGAGCGGUAGGGCGGUAGGCCGGUGUGGCAUAUAAAACAGCGGUAAGCAUCCAGCAUCUCUCCACUGCGGUAGUGCACUUGUUACAGUUGCUUGCGAUUAGACAGAAGUCAAUUAUUAUAUCCACGUUCUAACAAUCGUCAUUUUUACAGAGGACAUUCACUUGGUGCUCUACCAUAGAUCCUACAUCAUCACGGAUACCAAAGAGAUCGAAGGAAACUGAAUAAUAUCAUCACAAGGAUAUUAUUACGAUAUUAUGACCGCAGUCCGCAGUUUUUAGAAGAUACAAUUAAAAUGAAGUUAAUCAUCCUGCUGUUGCUGCUGGUCAAUUCUGCUUUUUGUAUACCUUGGCUCGAUCUAUGGUUCCCUCAGCAGUCCUCGUACGACACUCAAAAUCGCAGAUACUAUGCAAACAACCCGCAUCGUCAAGGUAGAGAUGGUAAGGAGCGCUGGAAACAGAUCUGCAGGACCAUAAAUCCGGAUACGUACGCGUUCCCGGGACGCGUACCUUA
Temnothorax curvispinosus is the source of this 641-nucleotide long non-coding RNA. RefSeq lists it as uncharacterized. The record is from RefSeq and is a predicted model, not a curated record. The transcript is spliced from 3 exons. NCBI's taxonomy places the organism in Eukaryota, Metazoa, Arthropoda, Insecta, Hymenoptera, Formicidae.